RNAcentral lists this ribosomal RNA (497 nucleotides) under uncultured bacterium. Its description in RNAcentral is "partial 16S ribosomal RNA". It matches the Rfam family "Bacterial small subunit ribosomal RNA", at positions 28 to 507 of the family's 1533-position model. The record is from RNAcentral.
GAUGAACGCUGGCGGCGUGCCUAAUACAUGCAAGUCGAGCGAACAGACGAGGAGCUUGCUCCUCUGACGUUAGCGGCGGACGGGUGAGUAACACGUGGAUAACCUACCUAUAAGACUGGGAUAACUUCGGGAAACCGGAGCUAAUACCGGAUAAUAUAUUGAACCGCAUGGUUCAAUAGUGAAAGACGGUUUUGCUGUCACUUAUAGAUGGAUCCGCGCCACAUUAGCUAGUUGGUAAGGUAACGGCUUACCAAGGCAACGAUGCGUAGCCGACCUGAGAGGGUGAUCGGCCACACUGGAACUGAGACACAGUCCAGACUCCUACGGGAAGCAGCAGUAGGGAAUCUUCCGCAAGGGGCGAAAGCUUGACGGAGCAACGCCGCGUGAGUGAUGAAGGUCUUCGGAUCGUAAAACUCUGUUAUUAGGGAAGAACAAAUGUGUAAGUAACUAUGCACGUCUUGACGGUACCUAAUCAGAAAGCCACGGCUAACUACGUG